AUGACACUAGCGGGAGAGAUCUGAUUCGUCAGGCGCCGAAGGAGAAAUUCCUUGAAAUCGCUCUUUCAAGGAGGGAAGCUCUCAGGCAAAUGUACUGCUAGAAGACG
RNAcentral lists this non-coding RNA (107 nucleotides) under Desulfosporosinus youngiae. RNAcentral describes it as "Glycine sequence". It matches the Rfam family "Glycine riboswitch aptamer". From Rfam's summary of the family: This family represents the bacterial glycine riboswitch. Glycine riboswitches usually consist of two metabolite-binding aptamers domains with similar structures in tandem. RNAcentral also lists the same sequence under 1 other name. The record is from RNAcentral. Lineage: Bacteria; Bacillati; Bacillota; Clostridia; Eubacteriales; Desulfitobacteriaceae.